RNAcentral lists this ribosomal RNA (549 nucleotides) under uncultured Glomus. Its description in RNAcentral is "SSU rRNA". It matches the Rfam family "Eukaryotic small subunit ribosomal RNA", at positions 548 to 1098 of the family's 1831-position model. The record is from RNAcentral. Lineage: Eukaryota; Fungi; Glomeromycota; Glomeromycetes; Glomerales; Glomeraceae. RNAcentral also lists the same sequence under 1 other name.
UUGGAGGGCAAGUCUGGUGCCAGCAGCCGCGGUAAUUCCAGCUCCAAUAGCGUAUAUUAAAGUUGUUGCAGUUAAAAAGCUCGUAGUUGAAUUUCGGGGUUAGUAGGUUGGUUAUGCCUCUGGUAUGUACUGGUCUCACUGAUUCCUCCUUCCUGAUGAGCCGUAAUGCCAUUAAUUUGGUGUUGCGGGGAAUUUGGACUGUUACUUUGAAAAAAUUAGAGUGUUUAAAGCAAGCUAACGCUUGAAUACAUUAGCAUGGAAUAAUGAAAUAGGACGUUCGAUCCUAUUUUGUUGGUUUCUAGGAUUGACGUAAUGAUUAAUAGGGAUAGUUGGGGGCAUUAGUAUUCAAUUGUCAGAGGUGAAAUUCUUGGAUUUAUUGAAGACUAACUACUGCGAAAGCAUUUGCCAAGGAUGUUUUCAUUAAUCAAGAACGAAAGUUAGGGGAUCGAAGACGAUCAGAUACCGUCGUAGUCUUAACCAUAAACUAUGCCGACUAGGGAUCGGAUGAUGUUAAUUUUUUAAUGACUCAUUCGGCGCCUUACGGGAAAC